Molecule: transfer RNA, 82 nt
Filed under: Entransia fimbriata
Lineage: Eukaryota; Viridiplantae; Streptophyta; Klebsormidiophyceae; Entransiales; Entransiaceae
Description: tRNA-Leu
Rfam family: tRNA
About the family: Transfer RNA (tRNA) molecules are approximately 80 nucleotides in length. Their secondary structure includes four short double-helical elements and three loops (D, anti-codon, and T loops).
Source: RNAcentral
GCCUUGGUGGUGAAAUGGUAGACACAUUAGACUCAAAAUCUAACGCACAAUAAGCAUGGAGGUUCAAUUCCUCUCCAAGGCA